This is a non-coding RNA of Prunus mume (Japanese apricot), 1324 nucleotides long. The record is from RefSeq and is a predicted model, not a curated record. NCBI's taxonomy places the organism in Eukaryota, Viridiplantae, Streptophyta, Magnoliopsida, Rosales, Rosaceae.
AUAAGAGAUAGUGAAGUCUGGCCGGGGAAAGAAAGUACCAAUCAAAUCGAAGAGCAAACCCAAACUGCUGUUCCGAGAGCAAAGAAGCAACGACGUCGUAGGGUGGGGAAGAGAUGUAUGGGGCAGGAGGAGACGAGGAAGAGGGCAUAGGAAUGGGAAUGGGAAGUGGAGGAACAGGGAUGAUGAAGAAGAUGAUGACCAGUCCUGCAGGGGGAGGGUCAGGACAGUGGGCCCCAGAGGAGACGAGGGAGCUGAUCGCCAUCCGUGGAGAACUGGAGAUCAGGAACUCCAAUUUGGCGAAGCGCAGCAAGGCGCUGUGGGAAGCAGUGAGCUCUAAGAUGGCCGAGAGAGGCUUCAACAGAACCCCCGAGCAGUGCAAAUGCAAGUGGAAGAACCUCCUCAUUCGUUACAAGGGGAAGGAGACGUCUGAUCCGGAGAGUGGGCGGGAGUGUCCCUUCUUUGAGGAAUUGCAGGCAGUGUUUACUGAAAGAGCAAAUAAUAUGCAGCGCUUACUUCUUGAAUCCGAGACGGGUUCAGCCCGGUCCAAGAAAAUGGGGAAGAGGAAAUUGAGGCCGGGCCGAUCCUCGGACGAGUUCUCAGAGGACCCAGAUGAAGAGGAUGAGGAUGAUAAGAAGAGGAAGGGUGAAAGAGUAAUUAUGCCAAAAGCAACCAAUGCUGCUAGUGGGACUAGUAGUAGUAUCCAGGAUAUGCUUAAGGCGUUUUUUCAGCAGCAGCAGAGGAUGGAGAUGGAGUGGAGGGAAAUGAUGGAGAGGCGGGCGCAGGGAAGAAGAAGAUGGAGAAGGUGGAGAGGGAGAGGUUAAUGGUGGAGCAGGCUUGGAGGGAGAGGGAAGAACAGAGAAGGAUGAGAGAAGAGAGCAGAGCUGAGAGGAGAGAUGCCCUACUGACCACUCUCUUGAAUAAACUUAUCAAUCAAACUAAUUUUUAACUCUGAGAAUUGAAUAUGCCUUUUGGGUUCAUCUUGUGCUGGCUUGAGCAUGGAAGGUUGGAUACUAAUUUACGAAUUUGUUUGAUCUAACUGAAAGUUAGAAUUGUGAUUUGGAAAGUUAGGUGUUGGGUUUAUUUGCAGUUCUUGGCAGAGAGUUCUGGGGUUACUACUACUAUACAUUUCUCUGUUACAAAAUACCAGCAAGUGCUCAUUGGCAGAGAGUGUAUUGGAGCAAGUGUUAUUUAUGUAAAGUGGUUAUAUUUUUGUAGUUGCAAAUGGAGAUUGGAGAUUGGAGAUUGGAGAUUGAAGGGUCAAUUGUGUAAAAAUCAAAAGAUCUUGGAGAGUAUAGUGAAUGAGACUGCACAAGUUUUGUAACAA